This 306-nucleotide ribosomal RNA is filed under the name Triticum aestivum (bread wheat). Its description in RNAcentral is "partial small subunit ribosomal RNA". The record is from RNAcentral. Lineage: Eukaryota; Viridiplantae; Streptophyta; Magnoliopsida; Poales; Poaceae.
AUGCGCGGCUCUCUCGAUCCCGAUCCAUUCAGAGGGGCUGCCCCUUCUCUCCUCCGCUCGCCGCUUGGCCGUAGAAAAGAAGUCCGGGCAGGGGACAUGGCGGCCGCCGGUGGCAUUUUCCCAUCGCGCCUCGAUUUGGCCGCCUCGGCGGAGGCGCUCGCGGCCUGGAGGGUCGGCGCAGUGCCUCACCUUGGCCUGGAGGCUGGCCGCCAUGGAGCUCCCCUCGGCCUAGAACUGGGGCUUGACGGGGCCUCCCUGCCCAGUUCAUGGCCGCAGCCGUCUCGGCUGUGCACGCCGGCAUCGUGA